Molecule: ribosomal RNA, 433 nt
Filed under: uncultured bacterium
Lineage: Bacteria
Description: partial 16S ribosomal RNA
Rfam family: Bacterial small subunit ribosomal RNA
Source: RNAcentral
AACGAACGCUGGCGGCAUGCCUAACACAUGCAAGUCGAACGAGACCUUCGGGUCUAGUGGCGCACGGGUGCGUAACGCGUGGGAACCUGCCCUUAGGUUCGGAAUAACUCCCCGAAAGGGGUGCUAAUACCGGAUAAUGUCUUCGGACCAAAGAUUUAUCGCCUUUGGAUGGGCCCGCGUUGGAUUAGCUAGUUGGUAGGGUAAAAGCCUACCAAGGCGACGAUCCAUAGCUGGUCUGAGAGGAUGAUCAGCCACACUGGGACUGAGACACGGCCCAGACUCCUACGGGAGGCAGCAGUGGGGAAUAUUAGACAAGGGGCGAAAGCCUGAUACAGCAAUGCCGCGUGAGUGAUGAAGGCCUUAGGGUUGUAAAGCUCUUUUACCCGGGAUGAUAAUGACAGUACCGGGAGAAUAAGCUCCGGCUAACUCCGUG